UACUCCAUAGAAUACCCCUCCCAUAGUCCCAUCCCCCGUUCGCCGCAACAGGGUUUGAAGGAGGCCGCCGAGGUCUCCCUCCGACGCGGCGACGCCCCGUCUGCCUCCAUCCACCGCCCUCCCUGAGAUCUCCGCCUGCCACCCAUCCAGGGGUUCCUCCGCCCCCCUCGUCCCCGAGCCCCUCCACCCCCCCUGAACUCCACUCUCCGCUCCAGGCAGCACUGCAGCAGCAAGCAGACCUUGCACCGGAGGUCGGGGAUGAAUCGAGCACCUCUUUGGCGGCAGAAUUUGCAAUUUUGGGCACCUCUGGAAUGCAAUAUAUUCAGCUGGUUGUCAAUGAAGAAUAGGCUGGACUGCUGAUAGGUUGGAGAGGAGGGGGAUGGAUCACACGGCUGCUUACCAGCAAUAUCCCACCUGCUCUCAGGGUGUUCGCUUGCUGCAGCAUCUCACCCAGGCAGCCAAUUACGAUUUAAAGAUCUGGCUAGAAUCUGCGGCUGACACUGGGCAUGGCCAACAGUGUUAGGUCGUCCAUCAUCAUGUGGUGCAUUUAGAAACAUCACAAUGCAUGUGUGUUUGAGUGUGCAAGGCCUGAUUGCGAAGCGCUCAAGGAGGCCAUUCUCAACGAGGCAGCACUUUGGUGGCUGGCUGGAGCUAAGGAGCUCAGGAAGCUGCCGUUGCACACUCGACCCCAUGAGAUCCUGCAACCUAUCACCAUAGCUUAGCCCCUGGUUUACUUCUUCUCUUGUCUUUUUGUUAGGUUAGACUGGCAGUUCCUUUGGAUUGUUUUCUCGUUUCUGUACAGUAGUUGGUUUUUGGUCGCAGCCACGCUGGCAUUUACUUUGCGCCUUCUUGGUGUUUUCUUCUAAUACAAAACGACCCCAAUUUAUGUGUGUAUUUGAGAAAAUUAUCUUCAAAGGUGUUUCUGGAUUUAUGUUUUGAUUUUCUUUUUGGUAUUUCCAUUUGGCUGAUGAGUGGAUGGAGUGAAUCAGAAGGGUAUGCAGUUACAAAGAACCUAUCUAGUAUAGAUGCACAUAAAUAAAGAGAUAUAUUGUUCUGAUGUUUAUAUUGAUUCUGUCAAGCAAGCAUAUAAACCGUUCAGAGUAACUUCUAAAGCUUUGAAACAGCAGACAGUAGAUGUGCAUUUCUAUUUACAGUAGUAACAUGGAUGAAGAACACCAUGACUGUUAUCAUACUACCGUCGUCCUUCUAUAUAAUAUUACCAAGAUGUUUUUCUUUUUCAGAAUUUUAGAACUUCACAUCAACAGCUAUCUGUACUACCCGCUGUGCGGCAACAAUAUCCUUUAACACCAAGCUUCUCGGUGUGGAAACUGGAAAACAAGACGAGCUAGGAAGUAUUACUCAGACGCAAGGAAAUUCGCCCACUGGAACAAACUGCUUCCGUCAUUGCCCAGAAAAGGUGGGUGCUCAGAUUGGAAUUGCCGCGGUGGCGAUGGCGAUCCGACACUAUUGGUGGAUGGCCACAGCCCACAGCGGCUGUGGGGUUCUGCCUCGUUCUGGUGCUCUUAGAUGGCAACCUCCACCUUGACUCGCGUAUAAGCACCAUUUAGCGAGCUACAGUAUUGAGCUCUUGUAAUUGAUGAAAUAGCAUGUGUUAUGUUUCCAAAAAGAGGUAAGUAACAAAGAGUUGCAAUCUGGAUCCUACUUAGCAUCAUAGACCCCGGAUGCUUGUUGAUAUUACAUGGUUUAAAGCUGAUAUUUUGAUUUGGCUCUUUGUGAUGUUGAUGUGUUACAGUAUGAACUUCUAAGAGAUGAUGCACCAUGUUGGAUGAUCAAUUUUUCAGGUUUGAUGUAUCAUGGUUCCCCUUUGCUGCUACCGGUUCUUGAUCCGUUGACCAGCAAAAGGUUAGGUGCACACGAUGCCCAUAUGUAUUGGAGGUAAAUAAGUUGAUUUGUAGCUGCUAUGAUCAUUCAAUCAACUGGGCUGACUCCAAAUGGUACGCAACAGACGCCGGAAGUAUCUCGACCUCAUAAAAUCAGUAAACAGAUCAGGUGUGCCAUAACAGUUAACACUAUGUUGUUUCCCGUCACUCCACUUGAAAUGUGCUGUAAGCCUUCCAUGAAUCUUGAGCUAAUUUUGCCUUUUUUUUGGCACUGCUCUUCUAGUUGUUUUAGCAAUCACCACACAUAGCUCCUGACAACAUUUCUUUGAGUUUUUUAUACUUAUAACUUACAAACUGCAAAAGUGAAAUUUUUAAGAUGCUUUAUUCACAUAGGUAGCGUUGUCAUUCUUAAGUUUCAUAUUUUCUGAAAGGAAAACCACUUUCGUGUCUUCUCCUUUAUAAGGAACGAAAGGGUUAUAGACUUGCCUCUUUGUAUUUAAGGUGUAUAGUCCUCUGCUUGAUAGUAUUUAAGGUGUAUAGUCCUCUGCUUGAUAGUGCUAAUAUCAUGUUGACCUCAGUCUGGCUCAUUAGGACAGGCUGAGAUAGGUUGGUCAGUCUGAGGUAUUGAGAUCUGUGGUGUUGUUUGGUUGGUUGCAAGUGAUGCGAUUAAAAAAAAUACUGGAAAUAAAUAUAAUAUUAAAGAAUAAAUUAAUCUGUGUAAAAAUGCUUAAUACGUGCUAAUCACCAAAAGGAUCACAUACUUAGCACGAACUCUGAGGUCGUAUCUGGAAGCAGCUAAAAUUGUUCUUCUCCCACUUCCAGUCCAAUGGAAUUUGAUCUUGCCUGGCUGGCUCAUGCAUCCUAUACAACAAAUCAUUGUCAGCAUGCCUUGGAGCUUGUGCUAGUUUAGGUGGCUCAUGUAGCCCAGGCAACGACCAAUCAUCCCCUUAAUAUUUGGAUGCUUUCUGCUUGUGAUUGCUUACUACUUGUUAUGCUGCUACUUAUCAUUUUAUUUAUACUGUUGCAGUUAACUAAGCACAUGAGAUAUUGCUUCUCUAAUAUAUCUGUGGAAUCCUUGGGCAAUAAUCAUUUGUGUGGGUUCAUGUUCAUCAUCAAUUGAGAAUUGAAUGAUUGUGAUAAUGAUCUACGGCUAGUUUUUUUAUCUCUCAUUUUACUUUUGUUCCUUGGCCUUUCACCUGGCAAAUCAUCAGUUAGCAACAUUUUCAUGGUAGAUAGUAUAUCUUCGAGUAAACUAGAAUUGCCCAAGUAUGACGCUAAUUCAAAUUUCUUUACAAUUUUGAGGUCUAACGCCUUUUGCUGCCUUUGGAGACGUUAUGGCCACACAUUUUUCACUUUAUCUUGCCAUUCUCAUUCUACCGGUAUGUGCCGCCGAUGUUUAUUUUUUAUUUCAAAUGUUCAAUUAUGCGUGUCUGCGUUGCUGGUCACUAAAACUAUUAGUUUCAGAUCACUCUUUUAUUGAGUUAUGGUCCAGAUACUCCUCCAGUAAAAGUAUUUAUUCUAAAAGCUCGAGCACCAGUAAAGUUGACUUUUCAGAUAGUGAAAAAAGUACUAGCCGAAGCAGUUUUGGACAAUUCUCAUGUAAAUCAGUACUCCACUUCAUAUUGUGUGUAUUUAUCUGUCAUGUUAUGUGUUUUUAUUGAGCAGCCUAAUUCUGAAUAAAGUGGGUGGCCUUCAGGAGAUAUUUGAAAACUAAGAUGCUUAACUGUUAUUAGCCUUGAUUCAUGUGAAAAUGUGCAGUAAUUUGUGUUAAGACUUUUCCCCACUGAAGAUGAGUUUUUAAAGGAGAAACAAAUACAAAUUUGUUUAUGAAUUCAAUUUUGGAUAUUAGGUACUGUGAUCAGCAUUUCGCCUAUCCUCUCCAACAUGCCAACUUCGUUGUUGGGCCUCACUUCGUACAAAGUCAUAUUAGGCUGCAAUAGACUGGCUUUUAUCUGUCAUCAAACCCCUAUUGACUUGUGCUGUGAUUCUGCAGGACUUACUGUUUUGUCCUUACAGUGAGGGACUUAUCACCUAAUAUUGUAGUGCUAUGGCAAGUCUUGGCAAAAAUUAGAACCCGGGUAUAUUUUGAUUGAUCUCAUGCAUUUGAGAAUUAAUGCAGAUAUUUCUUUGCUGAAGUCUUUGCCUUUUCCAAUAGUAUUUAAUAUGAACAUUAUUUUCAUGGUCUUACCGGCCUUCCGUCUGAAGCAUUGUUGUGCUUCCUUGCCUUUGUUUACACAGCAAUUGUCACGAUGUUGAGAUCUUAUCCAUCAGUGAGUACAUUUUACGUUUUUUAGGCCCUCGGCUGCAAACGGUUAAUGUUUAUAUUUUUAUUUAUGUUUUGCUCUCCUGUUAUUACUCUCGAAUCCAUGCAUAUCUUGAAGGAAGGAGACUCCGCUUUAUAUCUAGUACUUCUGAGCCUAUUCGCCAACGAAUUAGCAGGCAACUAAAAUUUCGUAUAAACUAUUUUUUAAUUACUCUCUGGUAUCCUGGGAUGUUAAUUCUUGCAGAGAUGCAGUUCACUUUCUUCCAGUUUUUCGGGUAUAUUGGUGUCUCUUUCCUUGUCAUGCACAACCUAUGGAUCUGGAGGGUCUCUUUCCCCCUCCCUCCUCCGGUCCUUCCUCUCUUCCACCCUACACACAUGUAGCAUACUGUUACUAGCAUGACAAUUUUUACAGACUGGUAUUGCAAACUUCUACUUUGCCACAGGUUUAGCUUAUACCUGCCUUCAGGUAACUAAUACUCCUUUUUGUUAGCACACAUCCAUUGCUCCAGUCCUGGCAAUUCCAGCAAACACUUCAGCUCAAAAUACAUCAACUCACCACAGGUUUGAAUGUGUGCUGAGUGCCUGAGUGGUUGUAUUAUGUAUUACUCAGUACUUGCCUAAACAUUAUACAUGUCAUCUUCCACAUCUAUAAAUUAUUGCUUGCCUUCUUUUAUUUUUUGCAGACUGUGUUGGCUAUAGAGUGUAGGUUCAAUGAUAAAACAUGGCAGGAAACUAAGAUGACUUGUAAAAGCUUAGCUUCAUUCCUCAGAAGUUCAAGAUCUCAGAUUCUUUUCUUCCUUGCGCUUUCGGAUGCGAAGAUACAAAUGAUUUGUUAUUCUAGGAUUUUGCGUAGAUACAGUCCAUAAUUUCUUUAGCCGUUUAUCCCUGUAACUAAUUGUAGUCUGUACUGAGCUUUUCCAUGGAUCCUGUGCUUACUACUUUGUCUGAUCUGGCAUGGUGAAAUUAAUCCUUUGGUACAAUGUGUACCAUCAGUUUGUCA
Long non-coding RNA from Brachypodium distachyon (stiff brome), 5104 nucleotides. RefSeq lists it as uncharacterized. Lineage: Eukaryota; Viridiplantae; Streptophyta; Magnoliopsida; Poales; Poaceae. The record is from RefSeq and is a predicted model, not a curated record. The transcript has 5 exons.